ACGAAGGGUGCAAGCGUUACUCGGAAUUACUGGGCGUAAAGCGUGCGUAGGUGGUUCGUUAAGUCUGAUGUGAAAGCCCUGGGCUCAACCUGGGAAUGGCAUUGGAUACUGGCGACCUAGAGUGCGGUAGAGGGUAGCGGAAUUCCCGGUGUAGCAGUGAAAUGCGUAGAUAUCGGGAGGAACAUCCGUGGCGAAGGCGGCCUUCUGGUCGGAUACUGACGCUAAAACGCGAAAGCGUGGGGAGCAAACAGGA
RNAcentral lists this ribosomal RNA (253 nucleotides) under uncultured prokaryote. Its description in RNAcentral is "partial 16S ribosomal RNA". It matches the Rfam family "Bacterial small subunit ribosomal RNA", at positions 525 to 777 of the family's 1533-position model. The record is from RNAcentral.